This 465-nucleotide ribosomal RNA is filed under the name uncultured bacterium. RNAcentral describes it as "partial 16S ribosomal RNA". It matches the Rfam family "Bacterial small subunit ribosomal RNA", at positions 28 to 507 of the family's 1533-position model. The record is from RNAcentral.
GACGAACGCUGGCGGCGUGCUUAACACAUGCAAGUCGAACGGAAAGGCCCUGCUUGCAGGGUACUCGAGUGGCGAACGGGUGAGUAACACGUGGGUGAUCUCCCCUGCACUUCGGGAUAAGCCUGGGAAACUGGGUCUAAUAUCGGAUAGGAGCCCUUUUUAGUGUGAUGGUUGGAAAGUUUUUUCGGUGUAGGAUGAGCUCGCGGGCUAUCAGCUUGUUGGUGGGGUAAUGGCCUACCAAGGCGGCGACGGGUAGCCGGCCUGAGAGGGUGGACGGCCACAUUGGGGCUGGGAUACGGCCCAGGCUCCUACGGGGGGCAGCAGGGGGGAAUAUUGCACAAUGGGCGCAAGCCUGAUGCAGCGACGGCGCGUGGGGGAUGACGGCCUUCGGGUUGUAAACUCCUUUCGCUAGGGACGAAGCUGUUUGUGACGGUACCUAGAUAAGAAGCACCGGCUAACUACGUG